Molecule: ribosomal RNA, 301 nt
Filed under: uncultured bacterium
Lineage: Bacteria
Description: partial 16S ribosomal RNA
Rfam family: Bacterial small subunit ribosomal RNA
Source: RNAcentral
CAGUCGCCGCGGUAAUACAGAGGGUGCAAGCGUUAAUCGGAAUUACUGGGCGUAAAGCGCGCGUAGGUGGUUUGUUAAGUUGGAUGUGAAAUCCCCGGGCUCAACCUGGGAACUGCAUCCAAAACUGGCAGGCUAGAGUAGGGCAGAGGGUGGUGGAAUUUCCUGUGUAGCGGUGAAAUGCGUAGAUAUAGGAAGGAACACCAGUGGCGAAGGCGACCACCUGGGCUCAUACUGACACUGAGGUGCGAAAGCGUGGGGAGCAAACAGGAUUAGAUACCCCUGUAGUCCCUGUCUCUUAUAA